GUCCACACGGUAAACGAUGGAUACUCGCUGUUGGCGAUAUACUGUCAGCGGCUUAGCGAAAGCGUUAAGUAUCCCACCUGGGGAGUACGCCGGCAACGGUGAAACUCAAAGGAAUUGACGGGGGCCCGCACAAGCGGAGGAACAUGUGGUUUAAUUCGAUGAUACGCGAGGAACCUUACCCGGGCUUAAAUUGCAAAAGGAAUAAAUCUGGAAAACAGGUUACUCUUCGGACCUUUGUGAAGGUGCUGCAUGGUUGUCGU
This 260-nucleotide ribosomal RNA is filed under the name uncultured bacterium. Its description in RNAcentral is "partial 16S ribosomal RNA". It matches the Rfam family "Bacterial small subunit ribosomal RNA", at positions 793 to 1055 of the family's 1533-position model. The record is from RNAcentral.